AUGUCACUCAUUGUUCAUGUAGACAUGAACAACAUGAACAAUGGUUGCCUUCUUUCUGAAUGUGUACAAGUUCCGAAGUUUAUUGCUCACCGUGGCCUUGUCUUUCUGAGUUUUUGGGAUGAUAAUCUUGGCGUCUACAUCAGCAUUAUAUGUUUUUUCUUUCCGAGUUUUUGGGAUGAUAAUCUUGGCGUCUACAUCAACAUUAUACCAUACCAUUUUUGUGAAGAUAUCGUAUGUGGUGCUAAGUUGCUGCCCGUGGCGAAAUCUGAUCUGCAGAAUUAUCUUUGCUUCCAAAUGACACGGCUCAUACAGAAGCGGGGCACACCGCAGUCAACAACACUCGGUAGACACGGCAGAGUUUUCCUUGCCGUGUGGCUUCGGACGGUGCUGCCCGUGGUGCAAGUUGUACCUUUCAGCAAACUGAAAUUGUACUUUUCUAAAUGGAUGAAGUCUUAA
Molecule: ribosomal RNA, 456 nt
Filed under: Triticum aestivum (bread wheat)
Lineage: Eukaryota; Viridiplantae; Streptophyta; Magnoliopsida; Poales; Poaceae
Description: partial small subunit ribosomal RNA
Source: RNAcentral